This 340-nucleotide unclassified non-coding RNA is filed under the name soil metagenome. RNAcentral's name for it is "partial contains 5.8S ribosomal RNA, internal transcribed spacer 2, and large subunit ribosomal RNA". The stretch from base 1 to 120 matches the Rfam family "5.8S ribosomal RNA", at positions 35 to 154 of the family's 154-position model. The record is from RNAcentral.
GAUGAAGAACGUAGCGAAAUGCGAUAAGUAAUGUGAAUUGCAGAAUUCAGUGAAUCAUCGAAUCUUUGAACGCACAUUGCGCCCGCCAGCACUCUGGCGGGCAUGCCUGUUCGAGCGUCAUUUCAACCAUCAAGCCCCCAGGGGCUUGUGCUGGGGCCCUGCGGCUGCCCGCAGGCCCUGAAAAGCAGUGGCGGGCUCGCUGUCACACCGAGCGUAGAAGAUUUUAUCUCGCUCUGGGCGUGCUGCGGGUUCCGGCCGUUAAACCACCCUUUUAACCCAAGGUUGACCUCGGAUCAGGUAGGAAGACCCGCUGAACUUAAGCAUAUCAAUAAGCGGAGGA